CAGAAAGGCUCCAAAAUGGGCCAAACCAGCCCCAUAAAGACCGGGGGGAGGCUGGCGAGGGGAGGGGAAAGCUUUAGAGAUCCACACACAGCCGUGCCAGCACCCCCAGGAAGCAGCAGAGUUAACCAGGACCCAGCGUUACCAAUCCACACAUGAACCUGUCCCCUUAUCCCAUGACUGCUAAGUUCACUCAAGAGGCUUUGGUGGGGAACGUUGUCAAAAGCUUUCUUCAAGUCCAAAUAUAUGAUGUCAACUGGAUAACCUUCAUCCACUUGCCUGCUGACACUUUCAAAGGACUCCAAAAGGACAAGCUGCUGCUACCCACGAUGCACAAGAAGAAACUGCUCCCAACAGCAGUCUAAGUACACCUGAUUACUUAGUCUGAUCUCUGUGAGGUCAGGGCUAAUCAGUUUCAAACUCCAGACCUUCUGCUUUUGUUUAAUAUAGCCCACUAAGAUUAAAAUGGGAUUAGAGCUGAACCCAUGGUGAGAAUAGCUCUGAACACGGAUUUUUUUUUCACUGCUCUUUUGCAAAUGUUGCUGAGGAUGAGAAAAUAUCUUGCCUGCAGGGAAGGUCCCAGACCAUCUGUCAAUGCACCACAGGCUUCCCCUCACCCACACUGUUGUGCUUACUUUUUUAUGUAUCUUUCUGUAGCUUUGCAGAUAUGAUCCACUAAUUUCCAACAGUCCUCCAGAAGAUUAGGUCUCUCAGUUUAUGCACCUGCCACUCUAGCUGUCCCUUUAAGACACUUUGCUCUGCAACAGUCUCCGAUCAUGUUUAGUCCAUGCCAUAAAAAGCUUC
This is a long non-coding RNA of Hemicordylus capensis (graceful crag lizard), 801 nucleotides long. RefSeq lists it as uncharacterized. Lineage: Eukaryota; Metazoa; Chordata; Lepidosauria; Squamata; Cordylidae. The transcript has 3 exons. The record is from RefSeq and is a predicted model, not a curated record.